UACGAAGGGGGCUAGCGUUGCUGAAUUACUGGGCGUAAAGGGAGCGUAGGCGGGUUAUCAAGUUGGAGGUGAAAGCCCAGGGCUCAACCUUGGAAUUGCCUUCAAAACUGAUAACCUAGAGGAUGAUAGAGGUAAGUGGAACUCCGAGUGUAGAGGUGAAAUUCGUAGAUAUUCGGAAGAACACCAGUGGCGAAGGCGACUUACUGGAUCAUUACUGACGCUGAGGCUCGAAAGCGUGGGGAGCAAACAGG
RNAcentral lists this ribosomal RNA (251 nucleotides) under uncultured bacterium. RNAcentral's name for it is "partial 16S ribosomal RNA". It matches the Rfam family "Bacterial small subunit ribosomal RNA", at positions 524 to 776 of the family's 1533-position model. The record is from RNAcentral.